CGCGCUGGCCCCGCCCCGGGCGGGCGCUGGGCUGGGGGCUCCCGGAGGACGCUCGGCUCCCCUGGGGGCGCGCGGUGCCCCCUGCCGAGGAGGAAAUGCCCGCGUCGCGCCCGCCGGCCAAUCCCGAUUCCUCCUUCAAACUCUCCCCGGGCCGGAAAGCCGUCGCCCUAAAGCGGCUCCGGCCCCCCGCACCGGCACUGCCGGCCCCUGGGCGCGGGCAUGGGGGUGACGCGGGCCCUGGCGCGCCCCUGGGCUGUACCCCCACGUCUCCGGUCGCGCUCUUCCCUCCCGCCUGCCCCUGCCCGGGAAGAUGCCCGCGGUAAACCAGAAGCGAUUCCCGCCCCGCCACGUGACGGCCCGCGACCUGGAAGCGGACCCUCCGGAGCACUCCUUGACUUCCCACACUGUGAAAGGAAAAUCCCCAUCCCCUAACUCAUAUCCUCCACGGAAAUAUGCCUGUAGAAACCCCCAGGGGCACGCCCACCUCAGGCGCGGUUCCUGCAGCCUCCCACCUCAACGCUACCAUCAGAGAAGGUGGAGCAGCCCUGGGCACGGAGCCCUGGGGCCCGGCGUCCCCACAGACGGGCUUCGGGGACAGCCAGAUCUGCCCGUGGAUCUUGGCCCUGCCACGGAGGAGCUCUGAGCCCCGACGUUUAAGCCAGCCAGCCCUCUAACCUCUCUUGGCCUCCUUUCCUCAUCUGGAAAAUGGGGAUAAGGAUUCCUUUCUCCAACAGUUGUGAGAAGAUUACAUGAGAAAAUACUGGAGACAAUCAUAACUGAUCCCGCGGUAUCUGAACACCAAAUACAGCUUUUUCUUCUGAUUAUAAAAAUAAUUUGGAAACUACAGAAAAAUAAAAGGAAAAUAAUUAUGUCAUAGUCCCACCAUCCAGAAAUAAACACUAGGAUUUUGUUGUAUUUCUCUCCA
Molecule: long non-coding RNA, 925 nt
Filed under: Dasypus novemcinctus (nine-banded armadillo)
Lineage: Eukaryota; Metazoa; Chordata; Mammalia; Cingulata; Dasypodidae
Description: lncRNA (ENSDNOG00000050368.1)
Source: RNAcentral